CAGUAGCCGCGGUAAUACGAAGGGGGCUAGCGUUGCUCGGAAUGACUGGGCGUAAAGGGCGCGUAGGCGGUUCGUACAGUUGGAUGUGAAAUUCCUGGGCUUAACCUGGGGGCUGCAUUCAAUACGUGCGGGCUUGAGUGUGGAGGAGGGUUGUGGAAUUCCCAGUGUAGAGGUGAAAUUCGUAGAUAUUGGGAAGAACACCGGUGGCGAAGGCGGCAACCUGGUCCAUAACUGACGCUGAGGCGCGAAAGCGUGGGGAGCAAACAGGAUUAGAUACCCGGGUAGUCCCUUGUCUCUUAUA
Molecule: ribosomal RNA, 301 nt
Filed under: uncultured bacterium
Lineage: Bacteria
Description: partial 16S ribosomal RNA
Rfam family: Bacterial small subunit ribosomal RNA
Source: RNAcentral